UACGUAGGGGGCAAGCGUUGUCCGGAAUCAUUGGGCGUAAAGCGCGUGUAGGCGGCCAGGUAAGUCCGUUCUGAAAGCCCGGGGCUCAACCCCGGGAGGCGGAUGGAUACUGCUUGGCUCGAGUCCGGAAGAGGCGAGUGGAAUUCCCGGUGUAGCGGUGAAAUGCGCAGAUAUCGGGAGGAACACCAAUGGCGAAGGCAGCUCGCUGGGACGGUACUGACGCUGAGACGCGAAAGCGUGGGAGCAAACAGGAUUAGAAACCCUGA
This 266-nucleotide ribosomal RNA is filed under the name uncultured bacterium. RNAcentral describes it as "partial 16S ribosomal RNA". It matches the Rfam family "Bacterial small subunit ribosomal RNA", at positions 524 to 790 of the family's 1533-position model. The record is from RNAcentral.